This 384-nucleotide long non-coding RNA is filed under the name Vulpes vulpes (red fox). RNAcentral's name for it is "lncRNA (ENSVVUG00000029284.1)". Lineage: Eukaryota; Metazoa; Chordata; Mammalia; Carnivora; Canidae. The record is from RNAcentral.
ACACCUUAUGUAAACCUCUACUCUUGUGCCACUACAUUGAAGUUGUUUAUGAAUCUGUUGCCUUCUAGAGCUAAGAUCUUCAAGGACAGAAGACAUCUACUCAUCCCUCCAUUAAUCACUUCUUGCACUGUAAUCAUCACUUUACACAUCCACAGCUCCAACAAAUCUAAAUUUUUGAAAGCAGGACUGGUGUUUUUUAUGUGUGUUUCUGUGUGCCCAGCACACAGCCAGCAUAUGAUGCCAUAGUGAAAAUAAGAAAACACACUGUGGGAAAACACAAAAAUGAGCCUUGACUCCUAGAUAAAAGGUAUGAACCACUAGUUGCAGGAUCUCAGGGACUAAUAAGUAUAUGAAAAAGCACACCACUUAGCUAUAAAACAUAUU